RNAcentral lists this ribosomal RNA (479 nucleotides) under uncultured bacterium. RNAcentral describes it as "bacterial SSU rRNA". It matches the Rfam family "Bacterial small subunit ribosomal RNA", at positions 56 to 507 of the family's 1533-position model. The record is from RNAcentral.
UGCAGUCGCACGAGAACGCUUCAGCUUGCUGAAGUAAGUAAAGUGGCGCACGGCCUGAGUAACGCGUGGGUAAUCUACCCUUGAAUUGGGGAUAACCCGCCGAAAGGCGGGCUAAUACCGAAUGACAUCUUGAAAAUUUAUGUUUUCAGGAUCAAAGGUGGCCUCUACAUGUAAGCUACUGUUUGGGGAUGAGCCCGCGUACCAUUAGCUUGUUGGUAGGGUAAUGGCCUACCAAGGCAACGAUGGUUAGCUGGUCUGAGAGGAUGAUCAGCCACACUGGAACUGACACACGUUCCAGACUCCUACGGGAGGCAGCAGUGAGGAAUUUUGCGCAAUGGGGGAAACCCUGACGCAGCAACGCCGCGUGAGUGAUGAAGGCUUUCGGGUCGUAAAGCUCUGUCAAGUGGGAAGAAACCAUAUGGUAUUAAUACCGCCAUAUGUUGACGGUACCAUUGAAGGAAGCACCGGCUAACUCCGUG